RNAcentral lists this ribosomal RNA (497 nucleotides) under uncultured bacterium. RNAcentral's name for it is "partial 16S ribosomal RNA". It matches the Rfam family "Bacterial small subunit ribosomal RNA", at positions 28 to 507 of the family's 1533-position model. The record is from RNAcentral.
GAUGAACGCUGGCGGCGUGCCUAAUACAUGCAAGUCGAGCGAACAGAUGAGGAGCUUGCUCCUCUGACGUUAGCGGCGGACGGGUGAGUAACACGUGGAUAACCUACCUAUAAGACUGGGAUAACUUCGGGAAACCGGAGCUAAUACCGGAUAAUAUAUUGAACCGCAUGGUUCAAUAGUGAAAGACGGUUUUGCUGUCACUUAUAGAUGGAUCCGCGCCGCAUUAGCUAGUUGGUAAGGUAACGGCUUACCAAGGCAACGAUGCGUAGCCGACCUGAGAGGGUGAUCGGCCACACUGGAAAUGAGACAAGGUCCAGAAUCCUACGGGAGGCAGCAGUAGGGAAUCUUCCGCAAUGGGCGAAAGCCUGAAGGAGCAACGCCGCGUGAGUGAUGAAGGUCUUCGGAUCGUAAAACUCUGUUAUUAGGGAAGAACAAAUGUGUAAGUAACUAUGCACGUCUUGACGGUACCUAAUCAGAAAGCCACGGCUAACUACGUG